Molecule: ribosomal RNA, 426 nt
Filed under: uncultured bacterium
Lineage: Bacteria
Description: bacterial SSU rRNA
Rfam family: Bacterial small subunit ribosomal RNA
Source: RNAcentral
GUAACGAAUAUUUCGCAAUGGGCGCAAGCCUGACGAAGCAAUGCCGCGUGCAGGACGAAGCCCCUCGGGGUGUAAACUGCUGUCAGGGGCUAGAAACUCAAUGAUCAGCCCCAAAGGAAGAGACGGCUAACUCUGUGCCAGCAGCCGCGGUAAUACAGAGGUCUCAAGCGUUAAUCGGUAUCACUGGGCUUAAAGGGUGCGUAGGCGGGUCCGCAAGUGCUUUGUGAAAUCCCACGGCUCAACCGUGGAACUGCUUGGCAGACUGCGGGUCUUGAGGUCGGUAGGGGCUGCCGGAACUCUAGGUGUAGCGGUGAAAUGCGUAGAUAUCUAGAGGAACGCCGAAGGUGAAGACAGGCAGCUGGGCCGAAUCUGACGCUGAGGCACGAAAGCGUGGGUAGCGAACGGGAUUAGAUACCCCGGUAGUCC